RNAcentral lists this ribosomal RNA (253 nucleotides) under uncultured bacterium. Its description in RNAcentral is "partial 16S ribosomal RNA". It matches the Rfam family "Bacterial small subunit ribosomal RNA", at positions 524 to 776 of the family's 1533-position model. The record is from RNAcentral.
GACGAACCGUGCGAACGUUGCUCGGAAUCACUGGGCUUAAAGGGUGCGUAGGCGGCGCGGUAAGUCGGGUGUGAAAUCUCGGAGCUUAACUCCGAAACUGCAUUCGAUACUGCCGUGCUUGAGGACUGGAGAGGAGACUGGAAUUUACGGUGUAGCGGUGAAAUGCGUAGAUAUCGUAAGGAAGACCAGUGGCGAAGGCGGGUCUCUGGACAGUUCCUGACGCUGAGGCACGAAGGUCAGGGGAGCAAACGGG